Molecule: ribosomal RNA, 500 nt
Filed under: uncultured KB1 group bacterium
Lineage: Bacteria; Candidatus Calescibacteriota
Description: bacterial SSU rRNA
Source: RNAcentral
UUCCUACGGGAGGUAGCAGUGGGUAACUUGGGAAUGGUCGCCAGGCUGAGGGCUUAACGCCGCGUGUAGGACGAAGGCUUUCUGUUUGUAGCUCCUUUUCUGCCGGAUGGAUAGAGGCCGUAGGUAAUGGCUGAUCCAUGACCCUUCGCCCCGAUCGACUUCCCGCUUCCUUCUCGCGAGCCGCCCAGAAAGCUGUAUUGGCCCUCGCGUUACCCCUCAGUCUUGGCGCAUUACGGCGCCUCUGCGAUCGUUCCGCUUUCCCCUGCGUGCCCUUAGCUAAUCUGUUGCAAGGCAACCCACUCUGAUCGGCUAGAGGGUUUUAAAGGUAACUGGAACUCUCGCAUUAACGGCGAUUUCGCCAAGGACCUACAGAUACCCUUUGCGCCAUUACUCUUACUGGGCGGCUCCUGACAAUUUAACCCUAAAAUGGGGGAGGAACCGGAUUCAUUGGACCAUUGUCUGCCCACCUUAUUAUGUUGCCUUGGUGUCAGUCCAGACCG